GGCUUCAGCGAGGCCCAGCGGGAAGCCGAUGUCCCUGUGCCAGGGUGAGGGCAGUCACCGAAGCAGAUGCUGGGCCACUGAGAAGAGCGAUUGAUUUCAGAAGCUCAAAUUCCUCAGGGUGGCCGCCGUCCUCCUCCCCUUGGUGGGAGGGCGGAGGUAGCUGGGAGCUGUGUUGGCCACCACUGGCUGCCAACGCAGCUCGAGUUGGGAGAGUUGUCGCCAGUCUCUGGCUGUAAGCAGGAGGUUUGUUAGGAAUCAGCAUUGUCUACUUAUGAAGAUUUAUGGAGAAGCUGACAAACAUUAAGCUUUGAAGCCGAAGUCAGUUUAUCGUCUACGGAAGCAUCUAGCACUCUGUGCGAUUGGUGAAUGACUGGCCCCCACACACCUGCCACCCAGUAAAACGGCCAGGAGUGGUGCUUGCUGCUGGCCAGUGAAACAAGCACCUUUGAGGGCUUGACCUCCAGGCACAGCAUGUCCAGCCAGGAAGGCCUCCUCACUCUGCUAAGUGUUGAGCCUGGGUGUUUUUCAGACUCACUUUCAGGGCACCGUGAGUGGGUGGGGAGGCGGCGGGGGGGCAGAAGGCGAAGCACUAACCA
Molecule: long non-coding RNA, 596 nt
Organism: Homo sapiens (human)
Lineage: Eukaryota; Metazoa; Chordata; Mammalia; Primates; Hominidae
Source: Ensembl